RNAcentral lists this transfer RNA (75 nucleotides) under Clostridiales bacterium. Its description in RNAcentral is "tRNA-Asn". It matches the Rfam family "tRNA". From Rfam's summary of the family: Transfer RNA (tRNA) molecules are approximately 80 nucleotides in length. RNAcentral also lists the same sequence under 1 other name. The record is from RNAcentral. Lineage: Bacteria; Bacillati; Bacillota; Clostridia; Eubacteriales.
GCCUCCUUAGCUCAGCGGUGGAGCACUCGGCUGUUAACCGAUAGGUCGUAGGUUCGAAUCCUACAGGGGGCGCCA